RNAcentral lists this ribosomal RNA (551 nucleotides) under Eimeria hessei. RNAcentral's name for it is "SSU rRNA". It matches the Rfam family "Eukaryotic small subunit ribosomal RNA", at positions 491 to 1046 of the family's 1831-position model. Lineage: Eukaryota; Apicomplexa; Conoidasida; Eucoccidiorida; Eimeriidae. The record is from RNAcentral.
CAUUUUAUGCUCUGUAAUUGGAAUGAUGGGAAUGUAAAACCCUCUCAGAGUAACAAUUGGAGGGCAAGUCUGGUGCCAGCAGCCGCGGUAAUUCCAGCUCCAAUAGUGUAUAUUAGAGUUGUUGCAGUUAAAAAGCUCGUAGUUGGAUUUCUGUCGUGGUCAUCCGGUACCGCCCGUAUGGGUGCGCACCUGGUUUGACCUCGGCUUUCUUCCGGUAGCCUUCCGCGCUUCACUGCGCGGUUGGUGUUCCGGAACUUUUACUUUGAGAAAAAUAGAGUGUUUCAAGCAGGCUUGUCGCCCUGAAUACUUCAGCAUGGAAUAAUAAGAUAGGACCUUGGUUCUAUUUUGUUGGUUUCUAGGACCAAGGUAAUGAUUAAUAGGGACAGUUGGGGGCAUUCGUAUUUAACUGUCAGAGGUGAAAUUCUUAGAUUUGUUAAAGACGAACUACUGCGAAAGCAUUUGCCAAGGAUGUUUUCAUUAAUCAAGAACGACAGUAGGGGGUUUGAAGACGAUUAGAUACCGUCGUAAUCUCUACCAUAAACUAUGCCGAC